GACGAACGCUGGCGGCGUGCUUAACACAUGCAAGUCGAACGGAAAGGCCCUGCUUUUGUGGGUUGCUCGAUUGGCGAACGGGUGAGUAACACGUGAGUAACCUGCCCUUGACUUUGUGAUAACUUCAGGAAACUGGGGCUAAUACCGGAUAGGAGCUCCUGCUGCACGGUGGGGGUUGGAAAGUUUCGGCGGUUGGGGAUGGACUCGCGGCUUAUCAGCUUCUUGGGAGGGUAGUGGCUUUCCAAGGCUUUGACGGGUAGCCGGCCUGAGAGGGUGACCGGCGACAAUGGGACUGAGAUACGGCCCAGAAGCCUACGGGAGGCAGCGGUGGGGAAUAUUGCACAAUGGGCGGAAGCCAGAUGCAGCAGCGCCGCGUGCGGGAUGACGGCUUACGGGUGGUAAACCGCUUUCGCAUGUGACGAAGAGUGAGUGACGGUAAUGGGUAAAGAAGCACCGGCUAACUACGUG
This 468-nucleotide ribosomal RNA is filed under the name uncultured bacterium. RNAcentral's name for it is "partial 16S ribosomal RNA". It matches the Rfam family "Bacterial small subunit ribosomal RNA", at positions 28 to 507 of the family's 1533-position model. The record is from RNAcentral.